RNAcentral lists this ribosomal RNA (441 nucleotides) under uncultured bacterium. RNAcentral's name for it is "partial 16S ribosomal RNA". It matches the Rfam family "Bacterial small subunit ribosomal RNA", at positions 338 to 795 of the family's 1533-position model. The record is from RNAcentral.
CCUACGGGUGGCAGCAGUGGGGAAUAUUGCACAAUGGGCGAAACCCUGAUGCAGCGACGCCGCGUGCGUGAUGAAGUACUUCGGUAUGUAAAGCUCUAUUAGUAGGGAAGAAGAAAGACGGUACCUGACUAAGAAGCCCCGGCUAAAUACGGGCCAAGAGCCGCGGUAAUACGUAGGGGGCAAGCGUUAUCCAGAUUUACUGGGUGUAAAGGGAGCGUAGAGGGUUGUGCAAGUCUGAAGGGAAAGCCCAGGGGUCAACCCUGGGACUGCUUUGGAAACUGUGAAGCUAGAGUGCUGGAGAGGUAAGUGGAAUUCCUGGUGUAGCGGUGAAAUGCGUAGAUAUUAGGAAGAACACCAGUGGCGAAGGCGGCUUACUGGACAGUAACUGACGUUGAGGCUCGAAAGCGUGGGGAGCAAACAGGAUUAGAUACCCGUGUAGUC